Molecule: long non-coding RNA, 900 nt
Organism: Mauremys reevesii (Reeves's turtle)
Lineage: Eukaryota; Metazoa; Chordata; Testudines; Geoemydidae
Exons: 2
Source: RefSeq, a predicted model, not a curated record
AAGAAGUGGAAGCGUGAUGGGCGAUUUACACUAAAGCCAGGCUGACUGACUGCUUUCUAAACGGCAUUUAGGAUGCUGCCGUUUGCUCUGGCUAAGGCAGACCUUCCCUAGGCAUGGUUUCAGUGGUGCAGAACCUCCCUUCUCUUGUCUGAUUUGCUUGUUCACGGGGCUGCAGAGACCCAAACACAGCAUGAAGAAGAGGCGCAGAUAACGCGUCAGCCCUGACAUUUCGUUCCGCCACUUGCAUAAAGGCUGCACUCGCCUGCCUGCUGCGAACACACCGCAGCGUUACUCACGGGCGGCGCAAAGAAAUGCCAGGCCAGGUAGUCUAACAGUGGAUACAAAGGAUAUAUUUCCUUCCAUACUCUGGCUGAAACCCCACCCUGAGAUCAUGGGCUGCAGAUCAUGGUAUAUAGGAGGAGUAGCUGAAGGAUGAGGAUGCAUCUCUUCCAGGGCAGGUGCCAGCCCAUGUUGCUCUGGGUCCUGCUAGCCAUAAUGGCCAGCAACCGCUUGAACAUGGUCACCUGCUGCUGGCUCUCCUCAUGCUGCCAUGCAUGGUUAUACUCAUGCAUGACCAGGCUGUGUGCAAUGUAGUUGGCCACCAUGUGCUCCUUCUGCUCCAACAUCUCAAUAGCAGCGUGUGAUCGCUUAGCCUGCUCCAGUAUCUCCAGCUGGAGGUCCAAGAUGGCUUUCUUCAGUUACUAUGAGCAGGACUUGAAAACUCCACUUACUCAUUCACUGGCAGUGAGCAGGCAGUUCUGUUUGAGUGCCAUUAAUUUCUGAAAAAAUCUAAGCUUUAAUUUAAAAAAAACAACAAAUUAAACUUCUAGCUUCUGGGGCUGUGAAAAUACCCUUCCAAAUAUGAACAGAAUGUAAAUCUAUAUAAAGUUAUCUUCCUAA